AACCCGAGCCUGAUCCACGCGCAGAGCAUCCUGGCCAUCUGGGCGUGCCAGGUGGUGCUCAUGGGCGCCGUCGAGGGGUACCGCAUCGCCGGUGGCCCGCUCGGGGAGGUGGUCGACCCGCUGUACCCCGGCGGCAGCUUCGACCCGCUCGGGCUCGCCGACGACCCGGAGGCGUUCGCGGAGCUCAAGGUCAAGGAGAUCAAGAACGGCCGCCUCGCCAUGUUCUCCAUGUUCGGCUUCUUCGUGCAGGCCAUCGUCACCGGCAAGGGUCCCGUUGAGAACCUCGCCGACCACCUCGCUGACCCUGUCAACAACAACGCCUGGGCCUACGCUACCAACUUCGUCCCCGGCAAGUGAGCGAGGGCAUAUACAUACUUGUAUGCGUGUACCGUAGACAUACGUAUUCGUAUAUGUACUGCAGGAGAUGUACCAGUAUUUGUGAAGAAGGGAGCAUGGGCUCAGAGAUUGUACCAGUAGUGUACGUAUUUGCAUGCAUGCUUUGGUCCUUGUGGACAUUAUCAAUGAAAUAUGCUGUAAAUUAUACAUACGUCUUUAAUAAUGCAUACUGUACAUGAUUUGCUCUGGCAAUUAAGUCGGUGUUGUGAUGAAGUGCAACAGAGUUCAGUGAGCACGUCCUACAUCAAACACCAGGCAGCUGGACAGCAAU
This 667-nucleotide long non-coding RNA is filed under the name Zea mays. RNAcentral's name for it is "long non-coding RNA (ZMAY_LNC005037)". The record is from RNAcentral. Lineage: Eukaryota; Viridiplantae; Streptophyta; Magnoliopsida; Poales; Poaceae.